GGGCCGAUAGCUCAAUUGGUUAGAGCAGAGGACUCAUAAUCCUUUGGUUGCAGGUUCGAGACCUGCUCGGCCCA
RNAcentral lists this transfer RNA (74 nucleotides) under Modicisalibacter xianhensis. RNAcentral describes it as "Halomonas xianhensis tRNA-Met". It matches the Rfam family "tRNA". From Rfam's summary of the family: Transfer RNA (tRNA) molecules are approximately 80 nucleotides in length. Lineage: Bacteria; Pseudomonadati; Pseudomonadota; Gammaproteobacteria; Oceanospirillales; Halomonadaceae. The record is from RNAcentral.